CAGGACGAACGCUGGCGGCGUGCCGUAACACGAUGCAAGUCGAGCGAAUGAAGUUCCUCGGUAGAUUGGAUGAAAGUUGAGUGGCGGACGGGUGAGUAACACGUGGGCAACCUGCCUCAACGAGAGGGGGAUAGCAGUUGGAAACGACUGAUAAUACCGCAUAAGCACACAGUACCGCAUGGUACAGGGUGAAAAGAUUUAUCACUGUGAGAUGGACCCGCGUCUGAUUAGCCAGUUGGCAGGGUAACGGCCUACCAAAGCGACGAUCAGUAGCCGACCUGAGAGGGUGACCGGCCACAUUGGGACUGAGACACGGCCCAGACUCCUACGGGAGGCAGCAGUGGGGAAUCUUCCGCAAUGGACGAAAGUCUGACGGAGCAACGCCGCGUGAACGAUGACGGCCUUCGGGUUGUAAAGUUCUGUUAUACGGGACGAAUGGCGUAGCGGUCAAUACCCGUUACGAGUGACGGUACCGUAAGAGAAAGCCACGGCUAACUACGUG
RNAcentral lists this ribosomal RNA (502 nucleotides) under uncultured bacterium. RNAcentral describes it as "bacterial SSU rRNA". It matches the Rfam family "Bacterial small subunit ribosomal RNA", at positions 25 to 507 of the family's 1533-position model. The record is from RNAcentral.